This 53-nucleotide transfer RNA is filed under the name Scythrophrys sawayae (Banhado frog). RNAcentral describes it as "partial tRNA-Val". The record is from RNAcentral. Lineage: Eukaryota; Metazoa; Chordata; Amphibia; Anura; Leptodactylidae.
CAAAGCAUCUCGCUUACACCGAGAAAAUCUCUGUGAAAACCAGAGUAUUUCGA